Molecule: long non-coding RNA, 837 nt
Organism: Symsagittifera roscoffensis
Lineage: Eukaryota; Metazoa; Xenacoelomorpha; Acoela; Convolutidae
Exons: 3
Source: RefSeq, a predicted model, not a curated record
GCUCUGCUUAGCUUGUUCUUCAAGCUACUGGGUUUUUCCAGAUGUAUUGUAGUUGGCUGAGAACAACUAGCGUCUGUAGUAUUUGCCGUGGCUUCAGAAUAAGCAGUCGAUGUCUGUGGACUACUACGCCAAAUUUAUUUAGUCUGAAGACAAAUGAUAAAAUAUUGAAUAUACAACGAGAUCAUGUUUUCAGAACUGGGAGCCCAAACUUGCAAUUCAGAAUUUUUUUGUCGGACACUACAUAUAAGGACGAAGAAUCUCCAGACUAUAUCACAGACAAUGAUUUUGAGGCUGACUUUUUCGAAGAUGCACUUGAUCCGAAUGCUGAACUUCAGUAUCAAUUCAAGAUUGUAAAUCUGGAAAAAUGUCAAGUAAAAGAUAUUUUGAAGUCUGUGUUUAAUAUUCAUCAGACCAAAAAGAUCGAGUCAUUGAUCCAAGAGAAAAAAGUGCUGAAGAAUGGAGAGUUAGUCACGAAGCGAACCCUGGUUGUAUCUGUGAACGACUUAAUUGAUAUUUUCAAGGCAACUAAAGAUGACUACUUCGUAGUGAGGCGUGCAGUUGUGAAGUACAUUCAGGACUACGACGAAGAAAUAGAUGAAAAUGAGAAUGGAGAUGAAGAAAACGAAAAAAUUGAAAAGCACAAAAAAACUGCCUGUGUUAGAGUCUACAAUCAUCUAGUGAUUAUAGAAUAAGCUUCUAAUUAUUCAAUUAUGCUGGUUGUUUUGAUAACAAUUUUCCACUUCAAAUUUCCUUAUGAAAUAUAAACGUUCUGAGUUUUCAUAAGUUCGCAUUCAUAGUCUAGCUAGAAAGACCCUUUCUGAAUUAAGGUAAGCUUCC